GAUGAACGCUGGCUACAGGCUUAACACAUGCAAGUCGAGGGGAAACGACGGGGAAGCUUGCUUCCCCGGGCGUCGACCGGCGCACGGGUGAGUAACGCGUAUCCAACCUGCCUCUGACUGAGGGAUAACCCGUCGAAAGUCGGCCUAAUACCUCAUGGUAUCGUCUGCGGGCAUCCAACGACGAUUAAAGAUUUCAUCGGUCAGGGAUGGGGAUGCGUCUGAUUAGCUUGUUGGCGGGGUAACGGCCCACCAAGGCUACGAUCAGGAGGGGUUCUGAGAGGAAGGUCCCCAACAUUGGAACUGAGACACAGUCCAAACUCCUACGGGAGGCAGCAGUGAGGAAUAUUGGGCAAGGGGGGAGGGCCUGAACCAGCCAAGUAGCGUGCAGGAAGACGGCCCUAUGGGUUGUAAACUGCUUUUAUGCGGGGAUAAAGUGAGGGACGGGGCCCUCAUUGCAGGUACCGAAUGAAUAAGGACCGGCUAAUUCCGUG
Molecule: ribosomal RNA, 491 nt
Filed under: uncultured bacterium
Lineage: Bacteria
Description: partial 16S ribosomal RNA
Rfam family: Bacterial small subunit ribosomal RNA
Source: RNAcentral